This 253-nucleotide ribosomal RNA is filed under the name uncultured bacterium. RNAcentral describes it as "partial 16S ribosomal RNA". It matches the Rfam family "Bacterial small subunit ribosomal RNA", at positions 524 to 776 of the family's 1533-position model. The record is from RNAcentral.
UACAGAGGGUGCAAGCGUUGCUCGGAUUUACUGGGCGUAAAGCGUACGCAGACGGUGAGAAAGGUCGGAUGUGAAAGCCCCGGGCUCAACCCGGGAACUGCAUCCGAAACCAUCUCGCUCGAGUGUGGGAGAGGGAAGUGGAAUUCCUGGUGUAGAGGUGAAAUUCGUAGAUAUCAGGAGGAACACCGGCGGCGAAGGCGGCUUCCUGGCCCAUUACUGACGUUCAGGUACGAAAGCGUGGGUAGCAAACAGG